GCAGACUCACUCUGUUCUUUGCUGCUCUCUCCAGCCUGGAACUUUUUCUGUCUGCUACAUGAACAUGCAGAAUUUAACACUUCACUGGCUCUCUGAAAGGCCCGUGUCAGUUUGUUCUGCUACAUUACC
Scophthalmus maximus (turbot) is the source of this 129-nucleotide small nucleolar RNA. Ensembl annotates it as small nucleolar RNA, H/ACA box 77. Its record names the gene SNORA77. The record is from Ensembl. Lineage: Eukaryota; Metazoa; Chordata; Actinopteri; Pleuronectiformes; Scophthalmidae.